Molecule: microRNA, 24 nt
Filed under: Lotus japonicus
Lineage: Eukaryota; Viridiplantae; Streptophyta; Magnoliopsida; Fabales; Fabaceae
Description: lja-miR11176-3p
Source: miRBase by way of RNAcentral
UUGAGAUCUGCUGCGGCUAGGACC